RNAcentral lists this long non-coding RNA (632 nucleotides) under Rosa chinensis. Its description in RNAcentral is "sRNA RchiOBHm_Chr7g0213501". The record is from RNAcentral. Lineage: Eukaryota; Viridiplantae; Streptophyta; Magnoliopsida; Rosales; Rosaceae.
CCUGACUCUUCCACCUCCUCUCUCUCCUCUCCUUCUGCACCACCCAAACCAUCACUAACCUGCCGAUAUCCCCUCCAAUUCGGCUCCACCAUCGUCCGCAAGCUCCAGUCCUUAGGUUUCACCAACCUCGUACUCUGCACCCACACCGACCCUGAGCUCACGCGCUAAAACGACAUCGAGUCAUUCGCAGCCGAAAAGCCCCAAUUCGUAAUCCUCGCCGCCGCUAAAGUCGGCGGCAUCCGCGCCACCAACACCUCCUGACUGACUUCAUCGCCCUCAACCUCCAAAUCCAGACCAACGUCAUCGACGCCCUCAACGUCCUUAUUCGCAGCUCUUUCAUCGAGUCAACCGCCUUCAUCGACCGCGACCCCUCCCUCAAGUCCCUCAUCUCCUGCCUCGACCUCGCCGCCAACCCCAACUCCCGAUCCCUGCCGAACUCAGCUUCUCCUAUCACCAGUGUUCUAAAACUCGGCCGCCCAGGCUGGGCGGCGAGUCUCCGCCGCGAUUAAUGUCAAAUCGGUGGAGGUGGGCGGUUGGAGUUUGGGUGGCCGCCUAAGCGGUCUAGGCGGGCGAUUAGAAGCCUCGAUGGUUGGGCGGACUGGCCUGGGCGGACUGUAAUUGAGGUCGGAUCG